GCCCGGAUGGUCUAGUGGUAAGUUUUAUCCAAUCAAACAUUCCACCACCUUCAUCGUCUAACAAAUUCAUAGGUAUGAUUCUCGCUUUGGGUGCGAGAGGUCCCGCGUUCGAAUCGCGGUUCGGGCC
Molecule: transfer RNA, 127 nt
Filed under: Aspergillus luchuensis CBS 106.47
Lineage: Eukaryota; Fungi; Ascomycota; Eurotiomycetes; Eurotiales; Aspergillaceae
Description: tRNA-Asp
Source: RNAcentral